CAGAAGGCCAGAGGGAGGAGUGAAUGGACCAUUUUAUUCUAGGAGAUCUAUGUAACAGUACUCCUCUGUGAAUGUGGACUUCAGGAAAAUGUUUUUUUACAAUUUUCUCACAGCUGCGAAAAGCUGAAUGAGCUUGGUCAUGGCAAUAGUACUCACAGCCAGAAAGGAAACCAUGUGCUCAAAUACAACUCCGGUCCAUUUCCCAUUUAGGAAAAUGUCAAUGAAUCUGCUAACUAAAACAAAGGUGUCUAAAAAUAUGUGUUAAACACAUAGAAAGCAUGUGCUACAUGGAAAGAUUGCUGAAGAUCUGGAAUGUAAAGCCCCUAAGCCAAUUGCUUUGCGUUGUAUCUCCAUUUAAUGCAACUGAAGUGAAUAAAAUUUCACCAGUGAUGAAUCUGGCUCAAGCUGUUAAUUUGCAAAACAAUGUGGACAAGGGAGAAAAUAGCUCUUUUCCUGAAG
Molecule: long non-coding RNA, 459 nt
Organism: Cygnus olor (mute swan)
Lineage: Eukaryota; Metazoa; Chordata; Aves; Anseriformes; Anatidae
Exons: 3
Source: RefSeq, a predicted model, not a curated record